UGAAAAUGCUUACAGUUGUAUACACUUUUCUCUUCUCUUUGAGCAUAGAAACUGUGCUGGGACUGACCAUAAAGCAAAGCGAACUCUCCUGGACAAAGACAGAAGGAAAAAGUAUUUAUAUUAAGUGUGAAGUGGAGGGACUGAGUGGCAGCAGUUAUCUCCACUGGUACCAACAGAAAGACGGCGAAGCUCUCAAAAGGAUUCUGUAUUUCAGUAAAAAUGGUGGCACUGUUACUGAUGGUAACCAUCCUGAAAAAGAUGACUUCACUGUGACAAAAGACUAUGAUCUGAAAAUAAAUUCACUGAAGAAAAGUCAUUCUGCAGUUUAUUACUGCGCCAGCUGGAGUGGUGUGAAAGUCUUUGGAUCAGGCACAAGACUUUAUGUGGAAGCUGAUGCACCACGGGAACCUGCAGCUGUCAGCGUACUCAGUCCUCAAACCAAACAAUGGAAAGAGCGUACUGGCGUGUCAGGCCAGAGGCAUGUUUCCAAACCUGGUGAGGUUCACAUGGAAGAAUGAAAGUAACACAGAGGUGACGCUGUCAGAGACAUAUGACCUGCUGGAGCAGAAAGAUGAGGGUGAGGAGGCCAGAGUGACCAGCAUGCUCAUCAUAGACCAACAGAAAGCAAGUUCUAAAAC
Colossoma macropomum (tambaqui) is the source of this 638-nucleotide non-coding RNA. The record is from the annotation of a RefSeq genome assembly. NCBI's taxonomy places the organism in Eukaryota, Metazoa, Chordata, Actinopteri, Characiformes, Serrasalmidae.